AUACGGAGGAUGCAAGCGUUAUCCGGAUUUAUUGGGUUUAAAGGGUGCGUAGGCGGGAUUUUAAGCGUGAGGUGAAAUGCCACGGCUCAACCGUGGAACUGCCUCGCGAACUGGGGUUCUUGAAUGCCCCUGCCGUGGGAGGAAUGUGUGGUGUAGCGGUGAAAUGCAUAGAGAUCACACAGAACACCGAUUGCGAAGGCAUCUCACGAAGGGGUGAUUGACGCUGAGGCACGAAAGCGUGGGGAUCAAACAGGAUUAGAUACCCUGGUAGUCCACGCAGUAAACGAUGAUAACUAACCGCUGGGGAGCGAUUUUCAGUGGCCAAGCGAAAGCGAUAAGUUAUCCACCUGGGGAGUACGACCGCAAGGUUGAAACUCAAAGGAAUUGACGGGG
This 393-nucleotide ribosomal RNA is filed under the name uncultured bacterium. RNAcentral's name for it is "partial 16S ribosomal RNA". It matches the Rfam family "Bacterial small subunit ribosomal RNA", at positions 523 to 918 of the family's 1533-position model. The record is from RNAcentral.